UAGAACGAGGGAACGAGACAACGAGCUGCACGUGAACGAGACAGGAGUAGAAGGAGAGUGCUGAUUGGAGGAGACACAAGGAUCAGGGCAAAACCCAGGUGUUACUAAUGAAGGGACACAAGGAGCAGAGGAGAAAACACGUCAAGAACAUUUUUAUUCACGUUAGAAGUCAGCAAGGAGUGGCUUGAUGGAUCAAUAUCUAUCGCUAGCUCUACCUGAAGUGCCUCAACUGGGCACGCACAGCGCUUUGACACCGCCAGCACAUUUACCUUCUGAUGACGCAGCAUUAGGAGCAACCGGGGGUUCAGCGUCUUGCCAAGGAUACUUCGCCAGGAUCACGGGAAGAUGGACGAUCGAACCGCCAACCUUCAGGUUGGGAGACGUCCACGCUGCCACCUACCGCCGCCGCGCUGUGUUCUAUGCCCAUAUAACGAUGGAAACUGCCAAAAGAAAGAUUAGACUCCUGUAGUAAUCAGCAGUGGGUAAGUUUCAGGAAAAUAUCAGUUCCUGACUAAAAAAGCAAGAAAACCAGCUUUUUGUGAAAAUACACAUUUCAAGCAUAACUUUCACUUUGACACAAAUAUCUAAACAACUAUACCAACAUAAACAACACAAAACAGGGGUUGUUUUACAUCAAAAUAACAAUUUAUUUACAAAUAUAACAACAUGGGCUUUUUACAAUAGCUCUCUCACGUCCGCCUUCCUGCCAUGUGUGAUUUUACCGUCCACACGACCCCUGCCGAGCUCUUAUCAAACGCACUUCUGCCAUCUUGUGGCCAUUUUUAUGGCUUAAAAUUGCAUUGCAUUCGUGGAGAGCUGCAUCAUCACCUCUUUUUGCUGCUUGUGCAAAAAAACGUAAAAGAUGUAAAUACGUUGUUGGGAUGGGGCGUUCAGGUUUAUAAAAACGUAUAACUGCUGUACAUCUUUGGUAUUGAAUGAGUUAAAAAUAAGGUUAAUAACUUUUUUUCUCGUUAGAAUACAUCUUGUUUCCCUUAAUGUUUUGACUUUAUUCUUGUAAAAUUACAGCUGUUUUUUUCAUUUCUACUGUUGUUUUUUUUCCCCAUCUUUUUCAACUUUUUUUCUGUAAAUGUUUUUCUCUUUACUACGACUUUAUUCUCGUAAUAUUUGGACUUUGUUCUCGUAUCAUCAUAACUUCUUCCGCAACCUAAUUUUCCCAAAAAAUGCCAACUUUAUUUUCUCUUUUUUUUGUACUAGGGAUGCUCCCAUCAGGGUUUAUGCUGCUGAUUCCGAUACGAAUCAUCCAGGACUGAAAUUGUCCGAUACCGAUCACAUGGAUUAAUGAUACAUUUUCCAUUUAUUUAUAAUGAGUGCCAUUGGCCAGGGGUGU
Molecule: long non-coding RNA, 1348 nt
Organism: Dunckerocampus dactyliophorus (ringed pipefish)
Lineage: Eukaryota; Metazoa; Chordata; Actinopteri; Syngnathiformes; Syngnathidae
Exons: 3
Source: RefSeq, a predicted model, not a curated record